Molecule: long non-coding RNA, 2024 nt
Filed under: Zea mays
Lineage: Eukaryota; Viridiplantae; Streptophyta; Magnoliopsida; Poales; Poaceae
Description: long non-coding RNA (ZMAY_LNC002726)
Source: RNAcentral
UGGAUUCCAUGAAAGCAUAUGACUGAAUUGAGCUUCUUCUAAGCAUUUUUUUAUGAUGGGGCAUUCAAAGCUGGUGAAUUGGACUAGAUAUUGAGUUUACAGGAGCAGUCAGGGAUAAUAUGCAUGGUUCUGUAAUUAGUGUGGAAACCUGAGCAAGACGUAAGGUGAUUUGAGUUGUUUUAAGCUUCAUAUUGUUCUUAGGUUUUGUUUCUUUUUCCCUAGGCGUGAAACCUAUGUUUUAUUUAUAACAAUGUUCUUGGGUUUGCAGGCGUGUUUCUAAAAAUGUUCUUAGGACCAGUAAAUCUACGGACAACAAGGAAGAUUGUGCAACAGAAGGUGAAGGAGGAUAGAAGGUGCAUGGCAUGUGCUAAACUGUAUUAUUCAUGGUAUUUAGAUUAUGAGUUUUGGAAUUUGGCUUUUUUGUUUAUCCAAGUAUCUUUGGAACAAUAUUAUUUAAUGUUUGCUCAAAAUUUCGCUAAAUGAAAAAAUGCACUGUCAUAAUGUGUAAUUUAUCUUUACAUUGAUGACACUUGAAUUGUAUUGGAAUUAACUUGGGAAGCACACAGUUGUUAGACUUCACGUUAUAGGUCUGUGCUGCUUAGGCAGCUCAGCUGAUCAAAUCCUUAUAAUAGUUCUGUUUGUAUCAAAAGCUAUUCAGUCAACAUAAUGGUCUAACUUGUGUGAGUUUGUAUCCACUACUUAGCAUAAAUUUUUGAAUACAAUAAAUUUGAAUAAAUGUAACUCUGAUUUUUAUCUGAAAGUAUAGCCUUGUUACUUCGAGUUAUGUAUAGGUUUAUAUACAAUUGUACUAAUUCAAAUGGUAAUUAUCCUUUAUUCUUUGAAUAUAAACUCCUUAUGUUUUAAGGAUCUCAUGACCAUAGCCAAAAUCACUGUCCUUUUAGCACGAGUGAAGCAACUGCUAGCACAACUCGGGGGCAAGUUAAAAGGCUAAUGCGUUGGAUGUGGAAAGUCAGUAUUUUUUCUUGUUUUAGCAUACUUCUUAAUUUUUGGUUCACUUAUAUACUUCGCAAGUUGUUAACUUCUAGAUCUCAACAGUUAGGGAAUAAACCAACAAAUGAUGGGUAAUAUUUAAGAUAUCAAAUGUUGAUGAUUGUAGAAGCCACUAAUAGAUUUACAGCUCAUCUAUCGAUUGAAAGAUGCAACAAAAGGUAGGCUGACUUAAAAUUUACUCUACCACUUAGUCCACACAUUUAGAUGGUUUAGGAACAAACUUUAGAUCAGGUCCUUAACCUGUUUAGAUGGUUUAUGAGCAUCAUUUAUGUAUUUCAUCCUCAAUGCUCCCAUCUUCUGCUCAAUAUAAAUAUAACGAGUUACCCUUGCCAUCAGUGGCGGACGCAGGAUAGAAUUUCAUGCGGAGCCAAACAAAAUCAUAAGACAUCUAGAUAAGAUUAUAAAAUAGAUGUAACACUGCAUAUAGAAUCUAGUGAUCGAACAAUAGAAAUUAAAAUUUGAAAGAAGAGAAAAAUAUGAACAAGAAAAAACUACGUGUCAAUGUUGCGAUGGCUGAAUGACUAAAUUGUGCGGGUGUGUGAGCGCAGGCAGAAGGGGGAUGGACGGGCGACAACGACAUUGGUGCGGCGAUAAAGUUGGUGAGCACAGAAGGGGAGCUAGGUGUGCCAGUGACACUGGGGCAACACAGAAGGGGGCAGGCGACAAAGUCAGGGUGAGUACAAUAAGGGUACGGCGACGACGGAGUCGAGCGCUUCUACCUUGUGUCGAUCCGAUACAACGAUAAUAGAACAGAAGUGGAAUUGGAUUGUUUUAGAGAGUUGUGGAGUUGGAUUGUUUGGCGGGAUGGUGGAUGUGUGCUGUAUUUUUGUCUUCACGUAUUUAUUAUUUAUUUCAAUUCUCAUCAUAUUCAGUAUAUAUAUAAGAAGACAAAAAUUGAGGUGGGGCCACGGCCCUCUUUGCCCACCCCGUGCAUCCGCCCCUGCUUGCCAUAUAGUUUUUUAUGAAGUGACCAGCUAUCUGAUUCUUGUUCCCUGUAUGUGUCACCGGGAAAG